GUAUUUGAGAAUUUCCCUCAAAUAUCUUUGUUGUUGAUUACUAACUCAAUUUUCUUAAAUUUGGAGAACAUAUUUUAUAUUAUUUCAAUUCUUUUAAAUAAAUUUGAGACGUGUUUUGUAGUCCACUGCAUAAUCUGUCCUGGAGAAUUUUCCAUAGGUACAUGAGAAAAACAUGAAAAGAAUAUUGACAUCUACCUCUCAUAAAUACUUUAUAGGACGUAGUUUCCUGUGUUGAGGACAUAAAUUUGUUACUUAAAUAUAAGAAUAGAUGUUGAAGAACCAAAAGGGUGAGCUGUUGCAUAUUAUCCUAUUUGCCCCUCAAAUCUGUUCUCCCAUUUUUUUCAUACUGUUGUGGAGUUAAACCCUAGAUCUUUAUCAACUAUUUCAUUUCCCUCCUUGUUAUUUGAGUCAUUUUUGAGCAAUAGCAGAAUGUAGGCAUAUUGGCAGGACUAAAAAAAGAAUGAAACUCUGUGUGUGUGUGUGUGUGUGUGUAUUUGCCUGCUUCAUACCUCCACGAUGUUGCUGUGAAUCACACACAUGGGAAGAUCACAGCUUCUAUCAGACAGCUCUCUUCACAUAAUACUUUCUUUUCAGGUUCUGGUAAUUAUUGCUUCUCCUCACCCUUUCAGACUCAGAAAUGGCAGUGAUUCUCCUGUUGUUUCUACCCCAGCUUACUACUAUAUUGUUGUUUCUUUAUGUCCUUCCUACAUUAUUCUAGAGUCUGUUAAAUUUACUCUACUUGCAAAUGCAUCUGCUUCAACUGAUUGAGCUGAAUGAUGGAGGAAAAAAAAGAUAACAGAGGUUUGGGUUCAAGAGUGUUUUAC
RNAcentral lists this long non-coding RNA (824 nucleotides) under Marmota monax (woodchuck). Lineage: Eukaryota; Metazoa; Chordata; Mammalia; Rodentia; Sciuridae. The record is from RNAcentral.